GUGAGGUAGUGGAAAAUUCCAUCGUUCCAACCAUGGAGCUACAACGGUGGUCGCUUGGGACCUUCUAGUGCAUUGUCCUCCAUAGAGAAGUCUUAGACCUUUCUAGAGGGCUAUGUUUUGCACCCCCCCCCCAAGGUAGAUUUCCCACCCUCCUUAAAGGAAUAUCCUGGAGGUGGAUGGGUUUCCAAGGAGAAAUCGGUUAUGCCAUCUCGAUAUCCUUUAGUGGGGGCUGGUGAUUGUGAGAAGGAGCUUUUUCUCUCUAUGUGCAUCAUCGAGGACGGCAUCGAGCAGCAUUCAAUUCUUCAUCUGAGGAUAUCGGUUGAGCCUAAGCUUUUUCUUUCCUUUUUUUAUUGUAAAGAGGCUUGCUCAAGUAGGAUUGAUUUGUAAUAAUUUUCUUUGGAAUAAGUGUGAACUUUUUGAAUGAAGUGUUUCUUUGUCGAUAUUUCCUUCAUGUAUCUUUCAAAACUUUUUUCUCUUCAAGAUGGGGUCUUCGAAGGGCUAGCCCCUUUACUGUCAUCAUCAUCAGCUUCAAAUGGCCAUGUGGGGUCAUCAAAGGGUUGACCCUUUCAUCGUCAUUGUUGUCAGCCUCAAGUGGCCAUACAAGAUCUUCAGAGGAUCAGCCCCUUCAUUGUCAUCAUCAUCAGCCUUAAGCAUCCCCAUGAGAUCUCCAAAGGGUUAAACCCUUCAUCUUCAUCGUUAUUGGCCUCAAGCGACCGUGUGGCAUCCCUGGAGGGUUAGCCCUUCAUCUUUAUUAUUGUCCCCCUCAAGCAGCCAUGCGGAGUCUCCAGAGAGUUAGCCUCUUUAUCUUCAUCGUUGUCGGCCCUAAAUGGCUACUCGAGGUUCUCGAAGGGUUAGCCUCUUUGUUGCUCCUAGAUUGAUUUUGAUGAUUACAAAGCAGAUUGAAGGGGUACCAAUAUUUUUUAUUUGAAAAAGUCUUUGUGCUCUUCAGGGGCAAAAUUAUAAUUUUACCAAAACUCUAAUUUAAUAGUAUCAUUUGGUAGAACAAAAGAUUUGUGAUCUAUUGGCGAAAAUUUUAUUAUUUUUGGACUUGUAUUUUUGAAGUUAUGCAUGUUUGAAAUCCAUGAGUCGACUCAUGAGUCAGCUCAUGGCACAAUGAGCAGUUUGGCACGCUGAAUUUUUGGCUUGGCACGGCCUGUGAGUCGACUCAUGNNNNN
This 1175-nucleotide long non-coding RNA is filed under the name Elaeis guineensis (African oil palm). RNAcentral describes it as "long non-coding RNA (EGUI_LNC031766)". Lineage: Eukaryota; Viridiplantae; Streptophyta; Magnoliopsida; Arecales; Arecaceae. The record is from RNAcentral.